UACGGGGGGGGCAAGCGUUGUUCGGAAUUACUGGGCGUAAAGGGCUCGUAGGUGGCCAACUAAGUCAGACGUGAAAUCCCUCAGCUUAACUGGGGAACUGCGUCUGAUACUGGAUGGCUUGAGUUUGGGAGAGGGAUGCGGAAUUCCAGGUGUAGCGGUGAAAUGCGUAGAUAUCAGGAGGAACACCAAUGGCGAAGGCAGCUCGCUGGGACGGUACUGACGCUGAGACGCGAAAGCGUGGGGAGCAAACAGG
RNAcentral lists this ribosomal RNA (253 nucleotides) under uncultured bacterium. Its description in RNAcentral is "partial 16S ribosomal RNA". It matches the Rfam family "Bacterial small subunit ribosomal RNA", at positions 524 to 776 of the family's 1533-position model. The record is from RNAcentral.